GACGAACGCUGGCGGCGUGCCUAAUACAUGCAAGUAGAACGCUGAAGGAGGAGCUUGCUUCUCUGGAUGAGUUGCGAACGGGUGAGUAACGCGUAGGUAACCUGCCUGGUAGUGGGGGAUAACUAUUGGAAACGAUAGCUAAUACCGCAUAAUAGCAGUUGUUGCAUGAUAACUGUUUGAAAGGUGCAAUUGCACCGCUACCAGAUGGACCUGCGUUGUAUUAGCUAGUUGGUGGGGUAACGGCUCACCAAGGCGACGAUACAUAGCCGACCUGAGAGGGUGAUCGGCCGCACUGGGACUGAGACACGGCCCAGACUCCUACGGGAGGCAGCAGUAGGGAAUCUUCGGCAAUGGACGGAAGUCUGACCGAGCAACGCCGCGUGAGUGAAGAAGGUUUUCGGAUCGUAAAGCUCUGUUGUAAGAGAAGAACGAGUGUGAGAGUGGAAAGUUCACACUGUGACGGUAUCUUACCAGAAAGGGACGGCUAACUACGUG
RNAcentral lists this ribosomal RNA (495 nucleotides) under uncultured bacterium. RNAcentral describes it as "partial 16S ribosomal RNA". It matches the Rfam family "Bacterial small subunit ribosomal RNA", at positions 28 to 507 of the family's 1533-position model. The record is from RNAcentral.